GCUUUGGUGCCUCUGCCACCGGAGCCGGCGUCGUUGUUUCCGGUUCCUUCACCGGAGUUUCAACAACCGCCGGAGCCGGAGCCGGAGCAGCUUCUUCUUCCUUUUUCACUUCUUCCACAGGCUUCUUCUCCUCCUCCUUCUCUACCUCCGGUUUCUUUUCCUCCACGACCGCGGUUGUAACGGUCUCUUCUUUCUUGGGCUUUUCAACAAUCUCCUUCUCUUUCUCACCACUUGUUUCUUCGGUUUUGGCUGGUUCUUCGGUUUUGGCUGGCUCUUCCGUUUUGGCUGGUUCUUCGGUUUUGGCUGUCUCCACCGGUACUUCUCGUGUCUUUACCUCCUCAGGAAGGAACACACAUACCUUCUCGAAUAUGAAUGUUAUUGGUCCUGCGACAUAGCCAGCUCCAAAGCUAGAUGAAGCGUCUUUCACAGCCGUUGAUCCGGGGAAUUCUGAAUUUACAUUUCAUUAAACACAAAGAUAAGUAAAUUCACUACUUUCAUCUAAUGAAAUCUAGGAAGAAGAAAAGUGAUCCAAUUAAUGAAAAAAUUUGUUUCUAAUAAUAUGAUGAGGCUUGACCUAAGGUUUUCGAAUUAGUGAAAUAUGACGAGACAUACGACGACUAGUAGUUCAAUAUAAUAGAAAAAUGUAAUAAUAUGUUAUCUCAAUAAUUUAUUAAAGAUGUUCACAACUAUGAGAUAUACAUAACUUAAUUAAUAUAUAUCUUUGAUUCCACGAUAAGAAAAAAUAUGUGAUCUAAACUCGAGAUAUAGAUGCGUAUAUAAGAAUAUAAGACACGAUAGGAAUCCAAAGUUUCUGCCAGCAAAUAUUUGAGGAAAAGUCAAUAACUAUAUAUAGAAGACCAAACAGAUAAGUUCGUAUAAGACAAGCCAAUUUGUAGUUGUUUUUUUUUUUUUUUUGAGCAAAAGACAAGCAAAUAUUGUUGUCGGGGUAUUUAUAAUAGGCACAUGACUAAGUGUAAUUGAAUCGUUACCAAUAUUGACAAGCGCCUCGAGAUACUUCUGCACAGCCGCUGAGUUUUUCUUCAAACCAGCCUCCUUAGGGUCUCUCACCAAAGCCUGCCCAUUUUAAUUUUAAUCUUAAUACCAAUGUUACAUAAAAAUAUGGAUUUGGAUAAUGAUUGAAAUAACCAUUAAAUUAGAGAAUUAAAGAAAAUGAAGAUACUGACCUUGACUUCAGCAGACGUGGCCUCAUAGGUUUCCACGACCUUUGGUUGGAGUUCUGUCUUUUUCUC
Molecule: long non-coding RNA, 1250 nt
Filed under: Eutrema salsugineum
Lineage: Eukaryota; Viridiplantae; Streptophyta; Magnoliopsida; Brassicales; Brassicaceae
Description: long non-coding RNA (ESAL_LNC002109)
Source: RNAcentral